GAAUCCGUACGUCGGUCGGGCUUCACGGUCCGCACUGGUGUGAUGGAUUCCUACCUUCUGAAUAACCAGCAUGUCAUUAAUUUGGUGCGUUGGGGAAGCAGGACUGUUACCUUGAAAAAAUUAGAGUGCUUAAAGCAGGCUAGUGCCUGAAUACAUUAGCAUGGAAUAAUGAAAUAGGACGGACUGAUUCUAUUUCGUUGGUUUCUAGGAUCACCGUA
Molecule: ribosomal RNA, 218 nt
Filed under: Campeiostachys nutans
Lineage: Eukaryota; Viridiplantae; Streptophyta; Magnoliopsida; Poales; Poaceae
Description: Elymus nutans partial small subunit ribosomal RNA
Rfam family: Eukaryotic small subunit ribosomal RNA (bases 47-218)
Source: RNAcentral